Molecule: ribosomal RNA, 258 nt
Filed under: uncultured prokaryote
Description: partial 16S ribosomal RNA
Rfam family: Bacterial small subunit ribosomal RNA
Source: RNAcentral
UACGGAGGAUGCGAGCGUUAUCCGGAUUUAUUGGGUUUAAAGGGUGCGUAGGCGGCUUUUUAAGUCAGUGGUGAAAUUUUGCAGCUUAACUGUAACAGUGCCGUUGAUACUGGGGAGCUAGGAUUUGGUUGCUGUGGGUGGAAUGUGUGGUGUAGCGGUGAAAUGCUUAGAGAUCACACAGAAUAUCGAUUGCGAAGGCAGCUCACAAAGCCAAGAUUGACGCUGAGGCACGAAAGUGUGGGGAUCAAACAGGGAUUA